Molecule: ribosomal RNA, 1532 nt
Filed under: Bacteroides sp. AF16-49
Lineage: Bacteria; Pseudomonadati; Bacteroidota; Bacteroidia; Bacteroidales; Bacteroidaceae
Description: bacterial SSU rRNA
Rfam family: Bacterial small subunit ribosomal RNA
Source: RNAcentral
CUUUUACAAUGAAGAGUUUGAUCCUGGCUCAGGAUGAACGCUAGCUACAGGCUUAACACAUGCAAGUCGAGGGGCAGCAUGGGAGUAGCAAUACUUCCGAUGGCGACCGGCGCACGGGUGAGUAACACGUAUCCAACCUGCCGUUUACUCCCGGAUAGCCUUCUGAAAAGAAGAUUAAUACGGGAUGGCAUAGCGAAAAGACAUCUUUUUGCUAUUAAAGAAUUUCGGUAAACGAUGGGGAUGCGUUCCAUUAGAUAGUAGGCGGGGUAACGGCCCACCUAGUCAACGAUGGAUAGGGGUUCUGAGAGGAAGGUCCCCCACAUUGGAACUGAGACACGGUCCAAACUCCUACGGGAGGCAGCAGUGAGGAAUAUUGGUCAAUGGGCGAGAGCCUGAACCAGCCAAGUAGCGUGAAGGAUGACUGCCCUAUGGGUUGUAAACUUCUUUUAUACGGGAAUAACAUCACCUACGUGUAGGUGCCUGUAUGUACCGUACGAAUAAGGAUCGGCUAACUCCGUGCCAGCAGCCGCGGUAAUACGGAGGAUCCGAGCGUUAUCCGGAUUUAUUGGGUUUAAAGGGUGCGUAGGCGGACUGUUAAGUCAGCUGUGAAAGUUUGCGGCUCAACCGUAAAAUUGCAGUUGAAACUGCCAGUCUUGAGUGUACAUGAGGUAGGCGGAAUUCGUGGUGUAGCGGUGAAAUGCUUAGAUAUCACGAAGAACUCCGAUUGCGUAGGCAGCUUACUAGGGUACAACUGACGCUGAGGCACGAAAGUGUGGGUAUCAAACAGGAUUAGAUACCCUGGUAGUCCACACAGUAAACGAUGAAUACUCGCUGUUGGCGAUAUACAGCCAGCGGCCUAGCGAAAGCAUUAAGUAUUCCACCUGGGGAGUACGCCGGCAACGGUGAAACUCAAAGGAAUUGACGGGGGCCCGCACAAGCGGAGGAACAUGUGGUUUAAUUCGAUGAUACGCGAGGAACCUUACCCGGGCUUGAAUUGCAUCUGAAUAAUCUGGAAACAGAUUAGCUAGCAAUAGCAGAUGUGAAGGUGCUGCAUGGUUGUCGUCAGCUCGUGCCGUGAGGUGUCGGCUUAAGUGCCAUAACGAGCGCAACCCUUGUGAUUAGUUACUAACAGGUGAUGCUGAGGACUCUAAUCAGACUGCCAUCGUAAGAUGUGAGGAAGGUGGGGAUGACGUCAAAUCAGCACGGCCCUUACGUCCGGGGCUACACACGUGUUACAAUGGGGGGUACAGAAAGCUGCUACCGGGCGACCGGAUGCUAAUCUCCAAAACCUCUCUCAGUUCGGACUGGAGUCUGCAACCCGACUCCACGAAGCUGGAUUCGCUAGUAAUCGCGCAUCAGCCACGGCGCGGUGAAUACGUUCCCGGGCCUUGUACACACCGCCCGUCAAGCCAUGAAAGCCGGGGGUACCUGAAGUGCGUAACCGCAAGGAGCGCCCUAGGGUAAAACUGGUGAUUGGGGCUAAGUCGUAACAAGGUAGCCGUACCGGAAGGUGCGGCUGGAACACCUCCUUU